AACACUGUUAACCUGCGGUACCUGCGGAGGGAUCAUUACAGAGUGUUUAACCCCCUAUAAAAUGGUGGGUCUAACCUCCCGUCCUUUGCUGGGUCCCCCUUCUGGAGGACUUUCAAAACUUUCUGCUUCGGCGGGGUAUACCCGCCGGAACACCCUCAAAAAAUUCUUGAUCAAAAUGGUUCGGUCCGAGAAACUUUUUGUGAAGAUUAGCGAAAAACUUUCAACAACGGAUCUCAGAUC
This 240-nucleotide unclassified non-coding RNA is filed under the name soil metagenome. Its description in RNAcentral is "partial contains 5.8S ribosomal RNA, internal transcribed spacer 2, and large subunit ribosomal RNA". The record is from RNAcentral.